Molecule: transfer RNA, 73 nt
Filed under: Gemmatimonadales bacterium
Lineage: Bacteria; Pseudomonadati; Gemmatimonadota; Gemmatimonadia; Gemmatimonadales
Also listed under: 1 other name
Description: tRNA-Lys
Rfam family: tRNA
About the family: Transfer RNA (tRNA) molecules are approximately 80 nucleotides in length. Their secondary structure includes four short double-helical elements and three loops (D, anti-codon, and T loops). Further hydrogen bonds mediate the characteristic L-shaped molecular structure. tRNAs have two regions of fundamental functional importance: the anti-codon, which is responsible for specific mRNA codon recognition, and the 3' end, to which the tRNAs corresponding amino acid is attached (by aminoacyl-tRNA synthetases). tRNAs cope with the degeneracy of the genetic code in two manners: having more than one tRNA (with a specific anti-codon) for a particular amino acid; and 'wobble' base-pairing, i.e. permitting non-standard base-pairing at the 3rd anti-codon position.
Source: RNAcentral
GGGGGUGUAGCUCAGCUGGUAGAGCAUCCGGCUUUUAACCGGCAGGUCGUGGGUUCGAGCCCCACCGCCCCUA